Molecule: ribosomal RNA, 529 nt
Filed under: uncultured Pseudomonas sp.
Lineage: Bacteria; Pseudomonadati; Pseudomonadota; Gammaproteobacteria; Pseudomonadales; Pseudomonadaceae
Description: bacterial SSU rRNA
Rfam family: Bacterial small subunit ribosomal RNA
Source: RNAcentral
GAGUUUGAUCAUGGCUCAGAUUGAACGCUGGCGGCAGGCUUAACACAUGCAAGUCGAGCGGUAACAGAGAGAAGCUUGCUUCUCUGCUGACGAGCGGCGGACGGGUGAGUAAUGCCUAGGAAUCUGCCUUGUAGUGGGGGAUAACUUGCCGAAAGGUAAGCUAAUACCGCAUACGCCCUAAGGGGGAAAGCAGGGGACUCUUCGGAGCCUUGCGCUAUUAGAUGAGCCUAGGUCGGAUUAGUUAGUUGGUGGGGUAAUGGCUCACCAAGACCGCGAUCCGUAACUGGUCUGAGAGGAUGAUCAGUCACACUGGAACUGAGACACGGUCCAGACUCCUACGGGAGGCAGCAGUGGGGAAUAUUGGACAAUGGGGGAAACCCUGAUCCAGCCAUGCCGCGUGUGUGAAGAAGGCCUUCGGGUUGUAAAGCACUUUAAUUUGGGAGGAAGGGCUUGCGGUUAAUAACCGCUAAGUUUUGACGUUACCAAAAGAAUAAGCACCGGCUAACUUCGUGCCAGCAGCCGCGGUAAA